Molecule: ribosomal RNA, 686 nt
Filed under: Trichosporon asahii
Lineage: Eukaryota; Fungi; Basidiomycota; Tremellomycetes; Trichosporonales; Trichosporonaceae
Description: eukaryotic LSU rRNA
Rfam family: Eukaryotic large subunit ribosomal RNA
Source: RNAcentral
UUUGACUCUGGCCUGAAAUCAGGUAGGACUACCCGCUGAACUUAAGCAUAUCAAUAAGCGGAGGAAAAGAAACUAACAAGGAUUCCCCUAGUAACGGCGAGUGAAGCGGGAAGAGCUCAAAUUUGAAAUCUGGCAGUCUUCGAUUGUCCGAGUUGUAAUCUAUAGAGGCGUUUUCCGUGCCGGACCGUGUCCAAGUCUCCUGGAAAGGAGUAUCAAAGAGGGUGAUAAUCCCGUACUUAACACGACCACCGGUGCUCUGUGAUACGUCUUCUACGAGUCGAGUUGUUUGGGAAUGCAGCUCAAAAUGGGUGGUGAAUUCCAUCUAAAGCUAAAUAUUGGCGAGAGACCGAUAGCGAACAAGUACCGUGAGGGAAAGAUGAAAAGCACUUUGGAAAGAGAGUUAAACAGUACGUGAAAUUGUUGAAAGGGAAACGAUUGAAGUCAGUCGUGUUCUUUGGAUUCAGCCAGUUCUGCUGGUCUACUUCCUUGGAACGGGUCAACAUCAGUUUUGUCCGGUGGAUAAAGGUAGUAGGAAUGUGACUUCUCCGGAAGUGUUAUAGCCUAUUAUCACAUACACUGGGUGAGACUGAGGACUGCAGCUCGCCUUUAUGGCCGGCCUUCGGGCACGUUCGAGCUUAGGAUGUUGACAUAAUGGCUUUAAACGACCCGUCUUGAAACACGGACCC